This 253-nucleotide ribosomal RNA is filed under the name uncultured bacterium. RNAcentral describes it as "partial 16S ribosomal RNA". It matches the Rfam family "Bacterial small subunit ribosomal RNA", at positions 524 to 776 of the family's 1533-position model. The record is from RNAcentral.
UACGUAGGCAGCAAGCGUUGUUCGGAGUUACUGGGCGUAAAGGGUGUGUAGGCGGUUCUUUAAGUUUGGUGUGAAAUCUCCCGGCUCAACUGGGAGGGGUCAGUCGAUACUGGCGGGCUCGAGGCCGGUAGGGGGAAGCGGAAUUCCCGGUGUAGUGGUGGAAUGCGUAGAUAUCGGGAGGAACACCAGUGGCGAAGGCGGCUUCCUGGACCGGUUCUGACGCUGAGGUGCGAAAGCGUGGGGAGCAAACAGG